Molecule: ribosomal RNA, 253 nt
Filed under: uncultured bacterium
Lineage: Bacteria
Description: partial 16S ribosomal RNA
Rfam family: Bacterial small subunit ribosomal RNA
Source: RNAcentral
GACAGAGGGUGCAAACGUUGUUCGGAAUUACUGGGCGUAAAGCGCGUGUAGGCUGUCUUGUAAGUCGGGUGUGAAAGCCCUGGGCUCAACCUAGGAAGUGCACUCGAAACUGCGAGACUUGAGUCCUGGAGAGGAAGGCGGAAUUCUCGGUGUAGAGGUGAAAUUCGUAGAUAUCGAGAGGAACACCGGUGGCGAAGGCGGCCUUCUGGACAGUGACUGACGCUGAGACGCGAAAGCGUGGGGAGCAAACAGG